GCCAGACUCCUACGGGAGGCAGCAGUGGGGGAUAUUGCACAAUGGGGGGAACCCUGAUGCAGCGACGCCGCGUGGGUGAAGGAGUAUUUCGGUAUGUAAAGCCCUAUCGGCAGGGAAGAAGCAAGACGGUACCUGACUAAGAAGCCCCGGCUAACUACGUGCCAGCAGCCGCGGUAAUACGUAAGGGGCGAGCGUUAUCCGGAUUCACUGGGUGUAAGGGGAGCGUAGACGGCCAUGCAAGCCAGGGGUGAAAGCCCGGGGCCCAACCCCGGGACUGCCCUUGGAACUGUGCGGCUAGAGUGCGGGAGGGGCAGGCGGAAUUCCUGGUGUAGCGGUGAAAUGCGUAGAUAUCAGGAGGAACACCGGCGGCGAAGGCGGCCUGCUGGACCGCGACUGACGUUGAGGCUCGAAAGCGUGGGGAGCGAACAGGAUUAGAUACCCCUGUAGC
Molecule: ribosomal RNA, 448 nt
Filed under: uncultured bacterium
Lineage: Bacteria
Description: bacterial SSU rRNA
Rfam family: Bacterial small subunit ribosomal RNA
Source: RNAcentral